AAAUUUGCUUUCGGCUGUCCUUUGCUUAGUUAAGGAAUUAGAUUACUCCAGCCUGGAAGUGGUUGAGAUGGCUGUCCGAUGCCGUAUGGAGGAACUAGAUGAUUAGGUUCCAUGCUCCCAGCGUAUUCUUUCCUGGAGUAACUCUGCAGUAUAGUCCUCUUGUUAAGAGAUUGAGAUUAUGGAUACAUAUAUAUGUACAAGUAUGGUUUGUUAUUGAUUGCAUAGGUUAUUUUCCCCUGGAAGUUUAUUAUUAUUCAAGUUUGAUCCCUGUGAGUACUAAAUUAGCCAGGGAUUUCUUAUUUUACUGCAGAGUAUGUUAUGUGAUAUAAUAGACAUGAUAAGGUACUGUUUUUGUUGAUAUUUGUAAUUAGAAGGAAAAGUAAGACUAGAGUAAUUUAUUAAAUUAAAUUUGUUUUAAAUGUCUAUAAUGUCUUUAGCAACUUAAAAUGUUUUUAGAUCUUAUUCAUAAAUUGUGGAUGGCUUUGUUACCGUGAGGCAGGUGCCACCCACUGGGAUGGAGACUGUCUCAUAUGUUGAUCAACAUUGCAUGGAGAAUGCUAUUUUUAUCCUAGUAUGAGAUAGAUUACUUGAAUUUUAUCUCAGUAAAAUUUUAGAUCAUCUUGAAAAAUAUUUAAAUGUUCAUGAUCUAAUUGCUUUAGCUCUUAUCAAUAAAAUUUUGAAAUGUUUCUUCUCUGUGCCAAACUGACACAUUGGCUUAAGAUGAGGUCAUGUUUAAGCUCAGAUAGAGGAAUGAUCUAUAAUCCAGCAUAGCUUGCUUUAUGACAAUCACACUGUAUAUUGUGAAAGCAUUAUUUGCUAACAUAGUGGUCAUUCUGAUAUAUAUAUGUGUUUCAUAUACUAUUCUUAGAGUUGGUGUGAAAUUGCUAUUGCAGGUAAAACAUUUUGAAUUUUUAAUUUGAAAACAUCUUGGUAAUCAAAUGAGACAAAUAGCAGUUCUCAAUUUUGUAAGUUUUUACCAUCAUGACCAAGUUGGGUUAUUGAAUGAUUUUAUUGUUGAUUUUAUAGUAAGUAUGAAACUUGUUUGAUGUAGAAUCAUGAAAAAUGGAAUUGCAUUCCUUUGCAAAUAGCUCAGACAACUUUGGUCUUAUAGACUGUCAGGUAUUGUUUUUGUUGGUAUAUUUUUCUUAUAUUUCAUUUUAAUUAUUAUUAUUAUUAAUAGGGCUUAGUUUUUCCAGACCUCUGAGUCCACUUUGUAAAAGAGGCUAUAACCAUGCAUUCUUACAAAAAUGUGUUAUUGCCUUGUCAUUAACCAUUAACGUAUGUCUUGAAGGAUAGACCAUCCAAAAUUCACUGGGAAGCAAGUUCAUGAUUCUUGACAGUGUGAGUUAAUACUACUUCCUUGAUUGUCUCCAUUCAGUGUCCUUUGUUCUCUUUUGCAUAUUUGUUUUAUCACGCAUUUGUGUCGUCUGUCUCUAUACUGUGGUGAUUUUUUCUUUGAUGUCUUUGCUAUUAACAUCUGAUUUUAUUUUCUCUCUUCUAUCUGUUGCAUAUUAUUAAUUAUUGGGGGUACAAUUAUAUCCAAAGUUUCCAAAUAAAUUUUCAUAAAAUGAAAACCAAUGUCUUAGAGUAAAGUGGUUGAAAUUUACCCCAUUUGUGGGAUAUUGCUUGCCCACUUAUAUUUACCUAUACUUCCCAAGUUUUGGCAGGUCAAACUUAGAUAACUGUCAAUGGCUAAUGGUAUGUAUAGUACCAGUGGUUUUUUAAUAUAGAAAAUAUCUUUUUAACAGAAUAUUAAAAUGAAUGGGUAUAAGGAUUUGUCAUAAAAUACCCAUGAACUUAUGUAUGUCAUCACAUUUCUGUAUCAUCGUUUCCAUGAGUUUAAGGGAGUGCUUACACAAGUUGAAGCUCAACCCCCUACUAUUUUAACUAGAAUCUUAUUUGCUUGAUUUUGUGUUCAAACAAAUCACAAAAAUAUUCUUACUUUUACUUAUGCUUGAGUACGUAGUUAAGGCAGGCAGAUUAAGUGCUGCGCUGAUGCAAAAGAAAUACAGAAGUUGAUACCAGUAAUCCAAUUGAAGCCAUACUAACAUGAUGGUGGUCUCACUUUUAUGAAGAUGGCAGCAAUUCUCAGAAGUUAUUUACUUUCAGAGUAUGUAUUUUAAAUAACUGCUCAUUUCAGGGAAACUGGUUCCAUUCAUUAUGUAAAUACUAUGUACUUUGUUCUUUUUAGCACUUCUUCAGUGCUCGAUUUGUUUGGCCAAAGUAUGGUCAAGAUGUAAGUGAGAGUAAGAGAAUCAGUUUAUGAAACUUUUUAGUUUGCAUUUUAAAUAGAGUGCUUAUACAGAACCACAGUGUAAAAUGCUGAAAGGUAUAUUUUGUAGAUUACAGUAGAAUUAGACACAUUUAAGGUUGAGGUAGACUAGUGUCAAGUUAUAGAUUCAGUAGACAGCUUCUUGAUAAACUUGAUGUAUUCUGUAGCUGGAGGCCAGAUUAUGUGAUACUCUCUCCUACUGCUAACAUUACAGGCCCAUUAUUAAAUCUCCAUGUGGUUCAUCCAUGUCAUUCAUUUUAUGUUCAGUGUUAUGAAAUUGCAAUUUGGACAGGCAACCAAAGGCCCUUAAUUAGCAUGGGUAUAAUGGGAAAAGGUGAAGGAAGAGCUUGUUUAACUUCAAAGGAAUUGGUAGAGAAAAUUCUUGAGAGAUUGAAUGUUUUACGAGUCAUUUCUAAAGCUGGCUUAGGUAAAGAAACAACCACAAAAACUAAUUAGUCUAAAGAUAUUUUUGUUAACAGAAUGCAGUUGGGAAGUGAUGGCCUAGGUUGUGUUAAACUUGAAGAGCUAGGGUAAAGGUUAGGGUGGGUUAGUGGUUAUAGAAAUUGUCUUAUAAGUACUAAUCCUUUUGAAAAAGAUAAAACAAAAAAGUACAUCAGAAAUAAGGGCAAUAUUCCACACUAGCAACUUAGAUAAGGAAAAGAACCUCAACUUGAAAGUAAAAGGCUAAUUUAUAUUAUUCAAAUUGUUAAGUUUAAGCUAUCUGAUCUCUCCAAGACAGUUACAAAGUAACCUUGACUCCAACAGUUAGCACUGUGUCUCUUUCUGUAGCAUUCUCUUUAUAUCUUUAUUUACUUACUUACAUUUUUAACAAUUUUUUUCCUCUUAGAUAAUUACCAUUAUAUCUUUAUUUACUUAUUUACAUUUAAAAAAAAAAAUUUUCCUCUUAGAUAAUUACCAUGGCAUGGUAUUAAGUUUUUUGCAUAUAUUUAAUCACCUUGCAUAUUGAAAAUAUUGAAUAGAUUAUAUUUGAGGGAACUUUCUGUGAUUUGAAUGAAUUUACCUUUCCAGAAUGAGGGAAGUUGCAUUUAUGACAAAAAAAUUGAAUUACAAUAACCAAAGAUAGCCUUUCUUAUAUUUCUACAGUUUUAAUUUUCUCUCAGGGUCUCUGAACCAAGGCCUAAGUACUUGUCGUCAUAUUGCAUAGUGUUAUGUUUAUUGCUAGAGAUGGUAAUGUACCUAAAGCAAACUUUUCUUUGUAGUUUUAGAAGAGGUGGCUAACUUAUCUUUUCCUGUACGUAUGGUAGUAUCUAAAAAACAUGAUUUUGUCAUGGCAGAUAAUCUAGUUAUGGUUACAUUUACUUUGUUGUUUGCUGCAUUUUGAUUGAUGUUACAGUAUGUUGUAAGUGCAGCUUGAUGAAAUUUGCAUAUUUGUUAAUAGAAAGUCUUCUCAUACACUUGAAAUCUCUGAAUAAGUUAAUGUUAUUGUUGGUCAUCUGCUGUAAUAAAUUUUAAGAUCAAAAGUUUGCAAACCUACAUAGGACAUGCUUAUCUAAUGCAAAGAUCCCAUAUAAUUUCAAGUUAUCUAUAUGUGGUGUUGUCGACAUAGUUUAAAACCAAAUAUUGAGAGGAACUUUUGUAUUUUUAUUGAUCUGCAAGAUACUUAUCAAAGCCAUAUAGUUUGGGAAGUGUUUUUGUUGAAACACUUCCCAAGCUGCGUAUGUGGCUUUGACAAGUGUCUUUCAGAUCAAUACAAAUACAAAAUACUUAAGUUCCUUUCAACAUUUAGUUAAAACAGAGGGAAGAUGUACACCAUACAUGAGUAUCUGUCAUUGUUUAAAAAUAUUCAUACCAGAAUAUCAUAACUUAGAUAUUCUAGUUAGGGUCUCUAAAUCUUGUAUCAAGAUUUAUUCCUUAAUCCCUCUAGUUCCAAGGCGAUGAUCGUCCAUAAUUGAUAACUCUUCCAUCCAUUGUGUGUGUGCGUGUGUGUGUGUAUGUGUAUCUGUAAGCUGUAUCUAUGACUUAGAAGUAUUUGCCUAUUUGCCACAACCAUGGUGAUGAUCGUACUAGCCAAGAAGCAGAAGGGUAGAACCUCCUGGAGCCACACCUCCAAAGGGUAAAUGCAUAACUAUAUGUAAGUCCUGGAAAAUUUUCCUUAUUUCUUCACCAAAUGUAUGCAUUGAGUACUGCCUGUGAUAAGAGGAUGGGAUGAGUGGUUGUUAAGAGUGGUCCAUUAUUUGAUGCGUUAUGUGAAGGAUUGUGCAACAUCAAGUUAGGGAGUGUUUGGGAUGAUGAUAAUUUUUGUUGCUUAGCUGGUCAGAGUUAUCUGAAAAUGGAUGGCAUGUCCAGUAACAUUGUGAAUGAAACUUCCAUAAUGUUCAUAUCAUGUUAAGUCUUCAAGUUAAAAAGUAGAUUUUUGUAUUCCACUUUACUGAUAAUUAAGAAUGCCCAUAAUAUUUAAGUCCACAGUUGUAAUUGUGUUGUACCAGUAACAAGCAUUCACCAAAAAUUUAUAGUUGUAAGAGGUUCAUUCACUUUCUGUUGAAUUUUGUGUGUUCUGUACUGAAUAUGUGCUCAUUUUUAUUCACCUCCAGGCAGCUGUAAAUCACUCGUAUAGCUGAAAGUAGACCAUCCCAAAUUUAAGUAAUAUUUGAGUCCCUCUUAUUCACUAAUUGAUUGCUGGUCAUUUCGUGUAAUUUUUGUGCUGAUAGGUUAUCUCUCUUAAGUUCAUUGUGGAUAUCUUAACUGACUGUUAAAUCCUUGUUUUUUUACUAUUUUUUUGACUGAUAAGCAUGAAAUGUAGUUUGAUGCGAGGUAAAGGUAGUAAGAUUGAUAGAUUAAUGUUCUGAUGUCAAAGUACUUGAAUGUAAAGUGCUUCUGUUUCAUUGGAAACUAAUAUCUGCCAGAUGAAUUCAAGUUUUGCCUACAAUGCAACUGCUGGAUACAGUGAUUCUUUACAUCCCAUAUGAUUUUUAUGAAGAUGUUGGAGCUGGAAUACUAUCUCAGUGGUCAGUAAGUGCGAACAUCUUUUUAAGUAAAAUUACUCAUAGAGAUAAACCAGCACGAGCAUUUCAGUUUAUUUUUAGCAGCUAUGAACACAAAGCAUACACAUGCAUUCCUUAAGCAUAUAAUCUGACCCUGUGCCUGCUUGAUCUAAGUCCUCUGUGAGACUUUCUUUCAUGCAGGAAGCACAAAAUACAAGCAGUCAGUUUUAAAAAUUUUUUUAAUUAAUUUCAUUUUUUUCAGAAUGUUUACAAACAAGUUCUUUGAGCUAAAGUAACUAAUAAUGAAUAAUCAAAGAUUUAGUGAUUUAUUCUUAGAAAGCAAAGUGGUUAGUUAAAAGGAAAUAAGCAGUCACUUCAUAAAUUCUCAUCCUCAUUGUGUGAUAAUUCAGUCUCACUCCAGUUACCAUUCAGUUAUUACUUAAGUUUUGAUGGUCUGUUUCACAUCCUGCUUAUAGAAUCACUUGUCUAAUGAUAAUUUGGGUUUUUGGGUGAAUGAAAGUUGUUUUAUAAUUUAGUUUCCUCCCUUUGUUUCCACUAUUUGUGAAAAUGUUGUAGUCUUUGGGUUGAGAAAAUACUCGUUAUUUAGGAAUGGAUUCGAAGAAGUACUGUGAUUUUGCUUUCUGAGUAGUUGAGUUUGUGUUGGCUUGGUUCUAACAAAAUGCUCUACUACUAUGAAGAUUUUUGUGGAUAUAAGUUUUAGUAGAUAGUAGUAGUAUUCAAUGAGAAAUCUCAUUAUUCAACGAGGGUACAGAUUUCAUUUGCUGACCUUAGUGUCUCGUGUUAGUUGUACAUUUUCUUGAAAAAGUUGCAUUUUGUUCUGAAUAGUAUGUUGAAUCUUAAAUGAUUUAUCAUCUGCAUUCAGUAAAACUUAUUAAACACCAUUAUGCUUCCAAGUGUGUUUCUUAUGGCAUUGGAGGGAUUUGACAUAAGGGUGAUUUUUAUAUAAUGUGUAUCUUGAUUGUCCAUUGUGCAUAAGUGGACACUAUAUGGGUUUCUUGGUAGUAUUUUUGUCAUUUCUGGUUUAACUUUUUUGAAGCUAACUGUAAAGCUUAUUGAUGCCCAUCUCUAUGUUUAGGAUUCCGUUUUAGGACUUUGAGAGAAAGAACCUUAAUUUCUCCACAGAUUCAAUCCAAACUUCAACCUCUUGUUUUGUAACAUAUAUUUCAUACUUUUUGAAACAUUAUUCAAUAGUCUGGUAAUAGCUUUGAUUGUCUAAGAUGGUGAUAUUUGAUUGUUAGCCAAGUUGUGUAUGUAUUUGAUAUGGAGUCCAUUAAAUUGAGGUUGUUGUACUUACAAGAGGAAGUGCACAAAUGUUACUGUUUUCUUUUAGUUGGUGAAAGUUAUUUUCCUUUAAAGAAUUGUAAGCUAUUUUUUUAGGGAUAUUGGAAAAGACAUACCAAAGUGAAACUCAUACAAGUUACAACAGCUACACCAAAUGUUUUCUGACCAAUUACGCUUACUUUUGCAGUAUAUCUGAUGAAUAUGCUUGUGCUUAUGUAUACUUACUCAACUUUUAUUAUAAAACAGAUCAGACUGAAAGAACAGUUUAUAGAUAAACAAGUGUUUUUGUACUUGCUUUCAGGUGUAUCCAUGUACCAAGGGAUAUCUUUAUAGGUUUUUUAUAUGAAUACUACUAGACUUUAGAUUGUGCUUUUUAAGAAUUAUUAUUUAGCAACUCAAAGAGCCAAAUUAAACAGAUAUUUAGUACCAUGCCUGUAUCAAAUUAUUGGCUUUUUAAAAGACUGGUUUAGGUGAAUCUUGAUUGUGAUCAAUGAAGGUGUUGGCCCCGAAUGUUAUACUUGUGAAGAAAGAUAAAAUCUUUCUUAAGAAUGUGACAAUCUUGCAGUAAUAGUGUGGGGUGAAAAGGCCUUACAAAAUUUGGUACUACUCACAACUUGUUUAGAUAAUUUUAAUAUUUGAUUUUAUUCAAUGGAAAUGUGCAUGGUACAGUAUUCUUGGCUUUGGUGUUCAAGGAAUUUCGAUGAAUCUUGCUUUACUUUCAGAAGAUUGGAAUUAGUAGCCAUGAUUACAAGAAAAAUAAUAUGCAAAUGUAGAGUUAUUAGCUAUGCAUUGUGAUAUGGUUGUUGUAUGAUACAGCUCUUUACCUUUUAGAAUGUCACUGCAUUUCCUUGUGGCACUGAUACUGUAAACAGAUCCUUUUUCAGGGAACUAUUCCCAUUAACUAACAUGACCCUGCACCCAUAGAUAAAACCUAAUUCUACACAUAAUUAAUGUGAAUAUAUAAAGUGAGGUAUAUUGCCCUGAAAACCAUUUGCUUUGAUUGGUUAGACAUUUAGUCCAUGAGUGAUAUAGAAAUAUUCGAUGUCACAAGAAAUCUGUAUUUUAACAGCAUUUUUUCUUGUGAAAUCACUGGAUCACAUAAUGGAAAUGGUGAAUUUUGGCAUGUUUUAAAUUUUUACUUUGGGUAUCAAAAAUAUAUUUUGUGCCUUAUCUCUCACCCCGAAAAAGAAAUGAUAAAUACCGUAAUCUUUUUAAGUAUUUGCUCGUUUCAUAUUCUUUAUUUGAGGAAGAAUGAAUUACGAAAUUGUAUCUGUAUGCACUUUUAUGCAUUUGAUUUUUCUUUCAUACUUCUAUUCUUACCAUUUAAUAUGUACUUAGCCCUCAACAUUAAAGUUUUGUGAUUUCUUUACUUUUUUUUUUUUACAUUUAGAGUUUUAUAGUGAAUAUUUACUAACCUCAGUUGGCUAACCAUUAUUGUGUACCUUGGGAAUUUAGGAACUUAGUUUUUCCAAGGAAUAGAAUUCUCAUUAGGAUUAAGUUUAGAAUUCCAGGUCUUCUGAUGCUCACAAUCAUAACUUUAAGAUGCAAUAUGUUUUGUUUAAGGUCACAGCAACUUGAAUGAAAUUAUUUUAUAAUACGCAUGCCACCUUUUCAUUGUUAAAUUAUAUGAAUUAUAAAAGCAUUCUCACAAAAAUAUUUCAGUUGGUUGAUAAGCUUUGUGUGUUCAAGUAUUUUGUGGUGCUCUUCUUUUCUGGUUGUUAUUUUUAAGAUUUAUUUGAAAUCAGAUUUGGUUUUCAAGGUAAGUGAAGUGUAUUAAAUUGCAGUGUAUCAGAGGCCAUUUUUAUAAGAUCUUGCCUUGUGUUUGCUUUUAAGAUUCAGUGUUAACCUUUUCUCUUUUCCAGGGGUAAGUUCCCCAUGAGUUUUACAAGAAUAUUUAGAUUGACUUCAAAUUUACAUCAAGGGCUUUAAUAAUCUCUCCAUUGAUGUUUUCAUAAUUUUAGAAGCUGUGUGACAUGCAUAAAUCUUAUUGUUGUUCUAAACUUUUAAUGGAUAUUGGGAACUUGUAUCUUGUAUCUAUAAUACUAACCCAAGUUUUCUAUGUAUACUUUUGUGUAGUGCAACAAAAAAAUUACCCUACGCAAAAUUCACACAAAUUACCAUAGUGCCAAGUAUAGAAAACUGGGGAGGAGUAAGCUCCUUAUUUAUAUUAAAUUUUCUCCUUACUUCAUUAUUUAUUUAGAAAUAAUAAUCAGAAUUUGUUUUAGUCUUUUAAUUAUAUAAAUUAGUAUUUAUUUCCGUAUUUUUAAUUAAUCCAGUUUUCUGUAGUGCUCUUGAGGUUUAGAUCUCUAGCUGUUUAUACAAUGUUAUUUAUUGAUUUACUGAUUAAGAAUUGGAAUAGGGAGCUUAAUAAAGAUCUGUAGGGAUAUGGUAUGUGCAGUUUGUCUUCCAGACACUUUGACCUUCUUAACCUCAGAGAUUUUACAGAAAGUAUGACCUGUUCCAUGAGUGGUCUUUGCAACAUAUACAUUAAAGGAGCAUCAGGUUUAGUGUAUGUUUGUAAGUUGUAUCUCUUACUGACAGGGAAGAAACUCUGGAAAGUGCUACUUGAAAUGCUUCAUUCCUUAGUUUCUGCUGAUAAAUAUGUAAUUGUUCCCUUGUCCAAGCUCAGGGUACUGCAUUCUCUCUCUCUCUCUCUCUUCUCUCUCUCUCUCUCUCUCUCUCCUUGGCAUGCCUGGAAUGGGUAAUUUUAAUCAGAGUCAAAAAAGUUUGGACAUUUAUACUCCAGCCAACAGUUAUGAUGUCCUUUUUUUCUCAUUUUCAAUAAUGCAGUUGCCCUUUCCAUCUCCACCCACUUGGUUUACAUGUUCAGGUCACAUAUGUAUGAUUAUACAGUGCUUUUAAGAUCUCUUGGCCCAUAGGUCUUAAUUGUUUUCCUGUGAUAGUGUCUAAAGUGGAAUUAACUCUGUGAGUCCUCAGCUGUUAUUUUAUUUUCUGUAUUAGUGCAGCUUGUCAAACCUUAACACAGGUUUUUGGGAGAACUGAGAGCCAGUAUCUGUUGAACAUUGUUUCAAGUCUCCAACCAAGAAGGACAUGCAAGUUAGCCUCACAGAAGUGGACAGCUUAAUGUAUUUGUUCUCUCUGGAACAAGCAGACCUAGUUUAGGGGAUUAGACAUGAGUAGAUGAGGUGGAUUCAGUUGAGUUUGUCUCAGUGAAGUACUGUAUAAUAGUAAUGGGUAAAUGAAACACCUACCACUGGCAAGUUGCUUUCAUUAUCAAAGGCAGGAGAGUUUUUAGGACCAUGUGUUUUUUUGUGUGUGCCAAAGCAUUAGCUUCUGUAUGCCCUUGGACUUGCCCUCAGUGUUGUAGGAAACUCCUGGAAUUCAAGUUCCCAUUACCAUUGGGGGCCCCUUAUGAGAGUUUCAAAAUGGUACUCGUUGUCGUGCUCAACCUUCAGGUCCUGUAACAUGGAUGGAUGGAUACCAAAAUAAGACAUCAAACAAAUGCUGAGAAUCUACAAAAAGUGAUCGUCCUCCUGCAACUCAGAUUGUGGGUGUUCCUGCAUUCUUGUAAAGGAUCAUUAUCAAAAGAUCAUGGGUAGAUGAUUUAAUUAUUUUUAAAAAAGAAUGCUUGUGAAGGUGAGAGAAAAAGCAACCCUUCAUCAGUAUGGUGGUGAGUCUUUAUGUUCUUUCUAAUGUUUGUAGUGUCACAUUUUUCAUGUAGAUAUUUCUCAUAUUUUAGUGAGAUGUAUAUUUGGAAAGGAAAUGUUUACUUUAUUUCAAGAUCUCAUGAAAUGUAUCAUAUUCUUAGGAUAUGUGAAGCAGAGCACUGACAGAAUUCUUGAACCAAAAAGUAUCACAUUCUUUUGGUGGCAAAGUGUAUUUUUAUUCUAUACAGUUGGGUUGGUUUUAAUAUAACUAAGGUUUUUGUAUUUGAAUAUGGUGCAAUGAAUGGAUUUCAGUUUUAUAUUUCAUUUCUGUGUAUAUAAAUACUGUAAUCUUGACAGAUUCUUCUGCUGCUGGAGUUCUUAGAGUAAUUCCUGUUUAGAACUUGUAUGUAUUUUUGCAGCAAAAUUUGUCAGUGAACACCGUGCAAGAUGGAUCACACGAGAAUUAAAGUUUUGUACAAGUCCAUUCAGCUUCCAAAGGAAGAUGUUUAGUAACUUGCAAGUUACUUUUGCCAGUAGAACUGCUGUUCUGGAUAUAGUGUGAGCUGUUAGCCUAGUAUUUUUACCGAAAUUUCUUCAUUGACUGUCAAUUAAGGUAAAGUACAUCUGUCAUAUUUGUCUCAUGUUCUAAGAGGUCCUCAGCCCCUCACAGACGAUUUCUUUGAUGCAUUCCCAUUGUCUAUCCUUCCCCUCCCACUAGGGAGUAUUUAAUGCACAUUUUUCUCAAUAAAUGGCAGUGUUGUUGCCUUUUUUGAUAAAGAGCUUCAGGUAUUAAGUGCCAUGAGUUCUUGCCAAAACGCAUUCUUAUUUUUACCAUUACAUUGCCCUCAGCAAUCAAAUAUAGUGACAAAAAGCUAGUAGUGAAUAUUAUAGACCUAAUAAAUUCAGAUGAAAAUAGCAGCAAAUGAUAGACUUCAGAAUCCCAACAAAAGUUUAGAAAAUGCAGCAAUAAUAUGAAAAGACAAAAAUUACUGUAUAAUUCAAUAUACCUGUAUAAUUCAAAAACAGAAUCAACCAGUAUAAUAAUAUUUUUAUUCUUCCUGUUUUUCUGUAACUUCCAAGUUAACUUGGUAAUGUAAAAGUCAUAUUUCAAUGUUUAAUAAUUUCCAAAGGACUUGUGAUUUUUAGCAAAAACUCUGACAAUGAUUGGAGAUUUUUCGCAAAAAUUCAGACAAUGAUCGGAGAAUUUUCAAUCAUCUGCAAGUCAACUUCUAGAGGGAACAUCCAUAUCCCUAUCAAAGACGACAAAGUGUAAACUCUUUCAAGUUUCUGGAUACCUAGGCAGAUGGCUCACAUUAUCGUUUUAACUAUUUUGUACUAUUGGUCAGUAGUAUUAAUCUUCAGUCAUGUAACUGGAUUUCAUAGCUUUAUGACAGUCACCAACCAAGACCAAGGCCUGAGAGCUACGUUUUCAGGCCUUGGUCCCAUUUUUGAUGCGCAAACAUCUCCAUGUAUACCCGAUUCUUGUGAAGCCAAAGUGCAUGGAAUGUUUUUGUCUUUUGUGUUCAAAAUGCAUUUUGUUUUAUUUUGGUUUAGUAACAUUUAAUUAUUUGUUAUCAUAGUGUAAGUUUGUUUUGAUACAUACAUCUGAGGGCAGGUUUUUAUAUUUUUUUCAUUUGAUGCUUGUCAGCUUUCAGAAGAAAUAUUCUAAAAUCUUUAUCUUCGUAAAUCAGGAAUCUUAUCUUUUGUUACCUUUAAUGUUUUCCUAGAACCUCCCUUUUAUGAUUGAACUUAAAAGUACAGCUUGCCUUAAUCAUUUUAAUCCAUUACAUGUAACCAAUACCCACAACUCCUGAUAUACAGUUAACAUUAUUAUAUAAAUGUUAAUGAUAACUUUAUUUCCAACUGAAUUUGACCAUAGUCUUGGGCAUGAAAUUGCUGAUAAGAUUUUUAAAAUUCAUCCCAGUUUUUUGUGAGUUCUGUUUCUUGGUAUCAAAUUGCAAAUAAUGAAACAGAAACACUGCAGUGCCUCUAAUAUGUGAUUGAUCUAACUUGCUGUUACUGUGAUUGCUAUCGACAACCUUAGAGUCUGAAAAAAAUGAAAAACAAUAGGCUGAUGGGAUAUAAGGUCAGAUUGCUUUCUAUUCGUUUUUCUUAAAUUUUUUUUUUAUCAUUCUUAGAGUUUUGUAUAACAAGGACAUUUUACCUUAGUUUACAAAUGUAUUUGGUUUCCUUUUUUGUCAUGGUUGGGAAAGGUAGGCUUUGAUAAUUUAGUUUUGAUUGCUUUGAUAAUGUAGUUUUGACUGAAUUAUUCUCAUGUUAAUUUGUCAUGAAACUACAUUGACAGUAUACAUUCUUUAUCAUUUAGGACAUUGUUUAAGCUGUAGCCAGAUAACCACAUUUGCAGAAUUGGACACUAUAAAAUAUUUUCAUUACUAAAUUGUAUAAAAUAUCUGGUGAAUAUACCAGGUAUUCUUACAGAACAGAACGCUUAAUGCAUGGCAAACAGAUAAAAUAAAUAUGUCUUGCUCAGAAGGAAGCAACGUACAUCAAAUUCUUAACAAAAUUAAAUUGAACGGCUGGUUUCCCCCAGAAUUGAAUUGAAUUUUCUUUCUUUAAAUUGGCAUUUGUCUCUAAUCUUGUGGCACAGAGGUGGUAACUAACACUUGGGUGUCACACAAAGUCUUUUAAAGGCCAAUUUUCAUUUUAGUUAUUGUCUUGCAGGCCAGUGAAGAGACAGCAUAUUUGCAGGACUGAAGUUUAUUGCUUUAUUCAAUGGCUUACCUGACUUACCUAGAAUUUAGUUGAAAUGUUUAGCUGCUUACAAGUUCAGAUACAUAUAGUACCAGUAUUGACUAUCUUCAGUUUUAAGGAUUUUCUCUUUCUGAUAGUGUUAUUAUUUUAGUAAUUACAUUUAAAUUACAGGCACUUUGUAAACUUCCUGACUCUUGAUGUUUUAUCAUAUAAAGUACAUUUACUCAAAUCCUCGGACACCUGGACACUGCUGGCGAGGAAGAGUAGUUUCAGAGGAAGCCAUAAUCCUAAACACAAACACUCAAUCAGACUGGAAAGAAAGAACAUGGGCAAAACACAACCGGCCUGGAAGGAGAGCAAAGCAUACGCGUCUACUCUCCCAAGGCGGUUAGGAAAAGACUGGGUAUCACGGGGUGAGACGCGGUGUUUGACCAGAUCUCACCUCAUAUACGCAGGCGUUGUCAGAUCUCACAGAUUCCUUGCUUACAAUCUCUAAUUGUAUUAACCAGUUUACCAGCUGCACUUGGAAAUAUCCUAUUGUUAAGACUGGAGGUUUGUUAGCUAUGAAAAAUACAAAUUGAUUCUAAAAUUUGUCAUUUUAUUUUGUCAAAGAAGACAGUUACCCAACUUCAUUAAAUGAUUGAGUUUGAUCAACCCCUAAGGAUCCACAAAUUAUUUUCCUUUCUAAGUUCUUGGCUAUCUUAGUUUCUUUUGUUUGAUAUCCACAUUUUCUUAAGGUGACUUCUCUCCUUCAUUCCAUAUUAGAUUGGUAAUUAUUUUCUUUUAUUUUUUGAUCCAUAUGCUAAGUGACAUCCAAGUAAUUGCAUAGUUAGAUCAGUCACAUUGUUAAGAUAAUUCAGUUUGAUAAGGUACUUUUGUGUCCUGGGACUUAUCAACUUCUUAUUUCCAGAUAUAUAAUGUGAAAUGUAUAUUUCAUUAACAGAUUUAUCCAAUACUAAUUAUUGCCUGAAUUAAAAAUAUGGGUUAGUUGUUACCCAGUAAGGUUUUAGCAUGCAUUCAAAAUAAUAAAAGUGAUGGUAUUUGUAAUAGAGAUUAAAUUAAAGUGUAACAGUA
Molecule: long non-coding RNA, 13910 nt
Organism: Macrobrachium nipponense
Lineage: Eukaryota; Metazoa; Arthropoda; Malacostraca; Decapoda; Palaemonidae
Exons: 2
Source: RefSeq, a predicted model, not a curated record